RNAcentral lists this transfer RNA (125 nucleotides) under Deltaproteobacteria bacterium. Its description in RNAcentral is "tRNA-OTHER". Lineage: Bacteria; Pseudomonadati; Myxococcota; Myxococcia. The record is from RNAcentral.
UGCGUCGUAGCUCAAUGGUAGAGCAGGAACGCGGACCUCAGCACCUUGACCGCCAUCGGCGGGCCGAUUGAAGUCCGUUAGCGCUGUUAACGCCCUGGUUGCCGGUUCGAGUCCGGCCGACGCAC